UGUAUGUCGAGAUCGUUAUCAAGUCUGGAUUCCUUCUACAACUUAAUGACAAAUGUUUGUUUAUAUGGCCUAUAGAUGCAUUCGGCAACUUGAGUUCAGUGUCACAGUGCUGUUUUUUUUUUCAGUCCAAAGAGCCCGAAGCUGAUAAGACUGACGAUUGAUCCUGAAGCUGAUUUGACAGACGAUUGCAUCAUCACAAUAUUGAAGGUUCAAUAUACAGUCAGCCUCUCAUAAGAUAAAGAACAAAUCCCAAGAUCCAAGGCUUGCUUCAAAGUUAAGAGACCAUUCUGUGCCACAAAGAAAUUGUUCAGGAAGAGGAGAAGUGGUGGAUAUUCAUUUUUGGUACGGUACAGUUCAAAGAGAUUUUCAAAAUGGUCAUGGAAGAUCAAAGGGAGGACAACUGAAAAAAAUGAAAGAUACAGAAGGAAAAAGAACAAGA
Molecule: long non-coding RNA, 439 nt
Organism: Saccostrea cuccullata (small rock oyster)
Lineage: Eukaryota; Metazoa; Mollusca; Bivalvia; Ostreida; Ostreidae
Exons: 3
Source: RefSeq, a predicted model, not a curated record